Colius striatus (speckled mousebird) is the source of this 598-nucleotide long non-coding RNA. RefSeq lists it as uncharacterized. NCBI's taxonomy places the organism in Eukaryota, Metazoa, Chordata, Aves, Coliiformes, Coliidae. The record is from RefSeq and is a predicted model, not a curated record. The transcript has 4 exons.
CUGGCCUCACUUUUGUGGUUCUGUCAUCCCAGUGUUGCAUUAGCAGCUGAAAAGAAGUGUGAAUUUCAAAACCUCAUGGCUGCGAGCAGGCUUAAACAAACAAAACAAAAUCCCUGUGCUGUGCUCACCGACUUAGUGUACAGUAACUGACCAGGAAAGAAGAGGAAGUGACUGUGGGAAGGAAAACUGGAAUUUUCUGGAAGUGUUGCAAGAAGAUUGGCAGGAGUCCAGCCUGGAAUCAAACCUGGGAAGAGGUUUAGAAGCUGUGGAAACACAUACAGAAGCACAACAGGGAAGACAAAGUGUGUGGGGAUGCUGAAGCUUUGAAGAGAAAUCCUGGAUCACUUUUUGAAUGAGACUAAAAGGAUCCUGCUUCUCUAAACAAGAAUAUUUGGAUUCUGCCUGGGAGAUGCACUCUGGCUUUGCAUGCUCCAUGUGUCUGCUGAGCGCACAGCUGGAUACCUGCGAAGUGCUGGGUGACCACAGACUCAUUUCCAUGUAUACUACAGCAUUCCUUCAGGAGGAGAGGCUCUUCAUAAUGGAUGCAUAAGCAUGCAAGCUUUAUUACCUGCCCCUGCCAACUCACCAGGAAAGUAUG